UGUGUUUCGUUCUCUUCAGCUUUAUGGUUUUUGGUUAUUUAGAUUCACUGAUUGUUGCGUGUAUGUGGUGAACUUCAAUGAAACGUAAACAAAAAAAAAGAAGGAAUACAUGGAAUGACAUCCUCCGACUGCUUUUUUACGUUUCUUUAUGCUUUUUUUCGAAUUGGAAGGAAAUAAAAAAGAAGAAGAAGCACCUAGUGUGACGUGUUA
This 210-nucleotide non-coding RNA is filed under the name Platyophrya macrostoma. The record is from RNAcentral. Lineage: Eukaryota; Ciliophora; Colpodea; Cyrtolophosidida; Platyophryidae.